AAGGCAAAGUCUUUAGGGAUUAGUAAUCUUACAACAGAGUCUUUUGGUGGGCAAAGUCCAAAAAUCCCAAGAGAAAUAUCCAGAGGUGGGCGGUUCUAUCUGUCCAGCAGAAGAAUGAAGAUUGCCUUCUUCUCCACAGUCAAAGCAAAGGAGAAUGAUCACCUGUUCCUGAUAAACUACGUCCUUGGAUACUACAAAAACUUUCAGAUGUGACUGGUGGAUAAGCCACUGUAAGUGAUAUUUGAAAGUCUACAGAGAACAGGAAAGGUACCACAGUACUGGCAUAGACAAGGAAGA
RNAcentral lists this long non-coding RNA (297 nucleotides) under Monodelphis domestica (gray short-tailed opossum). RNAcentral's name for it is "lncRNA (ENSMODG00000047804.1)". The record is from RNAcentral. Lineage: Eukaryota; Metazoa; Chordata; Mammalia; Didelphimorphia; Didelphidae.